AGGCGGACGAUCAAGUCAGGAGUGAAAUCCCCGGGCUCAACCCGGGAACUGAGUCUGAAGCUGGUCGUAUUGAGUGUCGGAGAGGGAAGCGGAAUUCCUGGUGUAGAGGUGAAAUUCGUAGAUAUCAGGAGGAACACCGGUGGCGAAGGCGGCUUCCUGGACGACUACUGACGCUGAGACGCGAAAGCGUGGGGAGCAAACAGG
Molecule: ribosomal RNA, 204 nt
Filed under: uncultured bacterium
Lineage: Bacteria
Description: partial 16S ribosomal RNA
Rfam family: Bacterial small subunit ribosomal RNA
Source: RNAcentral